RNAcentral lists this ribosomal RNA (253 nucleotides) under uncultured bacterium. RNAcentral's name for it is "partial 16S ribosomal RNA". It matches the Rfam family "Bacterial small subunit ribosomal RNA", at positions 524 to 776 of the family's 1533-position model. The record is from RNAcentral.
UACGUAGGGUGCGAGCGUUAAUCGGAAUUACUGGGUGUAAAGCGUGCGCAGGCGGUUCGUUGUGUCGGCGGUGAAAGCCCCGGGCUCAACCUGGGAAUGGCCGUUGAAACUGGCGAACUGGAGUGUGGCAGAGGGGGGUGGAAUUCCGCGUGUAGCAGUGAAAUGCGUAGAGAUGCGGAGGAACACCGAUGGCGAAGGCAGCCCCCUGGGCUGACACUGACGCUCAGGCACGAAAGCGUGGGGAGCAAACAGG